RNAcentral lists this ribosomal RNA (468 nucleotides) under uncultured bacterium. RNAcentral's name for it is "partial 16S ribosomal RNA". It matches the Rfam family "Bacterial small subunit ribosomal RNA", at positions 28 to 507 of the family's 1533-position model. The record is from RNAcentral.
GACGAACGCUGGCGGCGUGCUUAACACAUGCGAGUCGAACGGAAAGGCCCUGCUUUUGUGGGGUGCUCGAGUGGCGAACGGGUGAGUAACACGUGAGUAACCUGCCCUUGACUUUGGGAUAACUUCAGGAAACUGGGGCUAAUACCGGAUAGGAGCUCCUGCUGCAUGGUGGGGGUUGGAAAGUUUCGGCGGUUGGGGAUGGACUCGCGGCUUAUCAGCUUGUUGGUGGGGUAGUGGCUUACCAAGGCUUUGACGGGUAGCCGGCCUGGGAGGGUGACCGGCCACAUUGGGACUGAGAUACGGCCCAGACUCCUACGGGAGGCAGCAGUGGGGAAUAUUGCACAAUGGGCGGAAGCCUGAUGCAGCAACGCCGCGUGUGGGAUGACGGCCUUCGGGUUGUAAACCGCUUUCGCCUGUGACGAAGCGUGAGUGACGGUAAUGGGUAAAGAAGCACCGGCUAACUACGUG